GAGACAUCCCUAUGGAGCAGGACUUGCUUCAGUGUGGCACUCGUGCUCACUGAGUCUUCCCCUUGAGUGUGUCACU
RNAcentral lists this microRNA precursor (76 nucleotides) under Myotis brandtii (Brandt's bat). RNAcentral's name for it is "mir-9229 microRNA precursor family". It matches the Rfam family "mir-9229 microRNA precursor family". The record is from Rfam by way of RNAcentral. Lineage: Eukaryota; Metazoa; Chordata; Mammalia; Chiroptera; Vespertilionidae.